UACAGAGGCCUCGAGCGUUAGGCGGAAUCACUGGGCUUAAAGCGUGUGUAGGUGGAUGCCUAAGUGCCUUGUGAAAUCCCAUGGCUUAACCAUGGAAUUGCUUGGCAUACUGGGUGUCUUGAGCCACUCAGGGGCUACUGGAACAAACGGUGGAGCGGUGAAAUGCGUAGAUAUCGUAAGGAAGACCAGUGGCGAAGGCGGGUCUCUGGACAGUUCCUGACGCUGAGGCACGAAGGCCAGGGGAGCAAACGGG
RNAcentral lists this ribosomal RNA (253 nucleotides) under uncultured prokaryote. Its description in RNAcentral is "partial 16S ribosomal RNA". It matches the Rfam family "Bacterial small subunit ribosomal RNA", at positions 524 to 776 of the family's 1533-position model. The record is from RNAcentral.